GGAAGCCCCGCCGGCCCUGCACCGCUCCCGCCCCGCGCCGCGGCUCCGGCGCUGGUAAAGUGCAGAUCACAGAACUGUAAUGUGGGUCUCCCUACAUAUGUCUUGUGCCUCAAAGCUACAAAUAAGGCUGACCUGCUUAUCCAGGAUGAAUUCACCAGUGCCUAAAUGUCUAGCUGUUUUCCAGCAUAUCCAGUGGAGUAUGGCUUUGGGGCAACUUUAGGGGUUGCUCUCCAGAAUGCAAUGCUGCUGCUGUGUCCCCUUAUCUCCCAUCCUCAUAAUUCCUCAAUUUUACCUCAGCGUAAGUCCCAGGAGAAGAAACAACUGACUAAACAGAAUUAUCUCAGGAGGAGAGCAGCCUUCAAGGUCAGCACAGGCUGUUUUUGUACAUUCUACAUCAUGUUUUAAUUCAGUUUGUUUCCCUGUGUUCAGAAGCAAUUGAUAGCACUUAUCCAGACUGGAUGUUUUUGUGAAGACUUGUACUGAAACACAGAGACCCAAAUGCAUAAUUUCACAUGGCACAGGAUCACAUUAGAAGGCAACACCAGCAGAAUGAAGGCAAUGCUGAUGCUGUGUCAAGUCAACCAUGGGACAAGGUUCACACAUUCAGAAUUAUUGCUUCAUUAUGCAUAGGCAACUGAAUACUGCAGUGCUGGCAUUCACAGAUUUAUGCUGAUGCUCUAAUUGGUUGCUCAGCUUUAAUUAUAGGCAAACGUGGCAGGAGCAUGCAUGAAAAUGAAGUCUUUGUUGCAGAGGUGCUUGGAGAGUGAGUGUUCCAGCAGCAAUCACCAGCAAGUGGCCGCCACCACCACCAGAAACAUCCCACCUUUCCAAAGACACUGAAGCCAAGAAGCCAGUAGGAUACCUGGCAGUGAGAAGAUGGGCACAGAGAAACACAGGCUCCUCCUCCACACAACUCAUUCCUAGUGGACAGUCAAGCAUCAUUCUGGGGGGAAGGUGUUGGAGAGGGAGAUGAGGUAGCUCCAAGCUGAAGGUCCAGAGCCAAAACACUACUUUGGUGUCUCCACUUGGCACAUGCUGCCAUGUACUGGUGUGCACAACACCCUCCUCACUCUGUAUGCAUGGCUUUUGCCAUCUCCCACUUCGGAACAAAGAGUCACCAUGGCACUUAGUGCUUACUGCAGCUUCUGACAAACUGAAUCCUGGCAAAAUUGAAUCCUGGCUCUGAAAAAGGAGAACUUUACCCACAGAGAAAAUUUUCUGGCCACCCCUGUGGCAUCCUGCAGACUCUGCUGGAGGUUCAGGUAAUGCCUUAAGGAACUCUAUGAAGAGUAUAAUCUGUGAAUG
This is a long non-coding RNA of Catharus ustulatus (Swainson's thrush), 1305 nucleotides long. RefSeq lists it as uncharacterized. Lineage: Eukaryota; Metazoa; Chordata; Aves; Passeriformes; Turdidae. The transcript has 5 exons. The record is from RefSeq and is a predicted model, not a curated record.